AACGAACGCUGGCGGCAGGCUUAACACAUGCAAGUCGAGCGCAUUCCUUCGGGAGUGAGCGGCGGACGGGUGAGUAACGCGUGGGAACGUGCCCUCUUCUACGGAAUAGCCCAGGGAAACUUGGAUUAAUGCCGUAUACGCCCCGUGAGGGGGAAAGAUUUAUCGGAGGAGGAUCGGCCCGCGUUGGAUUAGGUAGUUGGUGGGGUAAUGGCCUACCAAGCCGACGAUCCAUAGCUGGUUUGAGAGGAUGAUCAGCCACACUGGGACUGAGACACGGCCCAGACUCCUACGGGAGGCAGCAGUGGGGAAUCUUGGACAAUGGGGGCAACCCUGAUCCAGCCAUGCCGCGUGAGCGAUGAAGGCCUUAGGGUUGUAAAGCUCUUUCAGCGGGGAAGAUAAUGACGGUACCCGCAGAAGAAGCCCCGGCUAACUCCGUG
Molecule: ribosomal RNA, 437 nt
Filed under: uncultured Amaricoccus sp.
Lineage: Bacteria; Pseudomonadati; Pseudomonadota; Alphaproteobacteria; Rhodobacterales; Paracoccaceae
Description: bacterial SSU rRNA
Rfam family: Bacterial small subunit ribosomal RNA
Source: RNAcentral